Molecule: non-coding RNA, 848 nt
Organism: Leopardus geoffroyi (Geoffroy's cat)
Lineage: Eukaryota; Metazoa; Chordata; Mammalia; Carnivora; Felidae
Source: the annotation of a RefSeq genome assembly
AUUGAAUGACAUGGUGGCAUAUUCAUACACAUUAUGUUCAACACAAAAAAGUUUUUUUAACUUGAUCCCAAUUCCACGAGAGUAUACAUAUUUGCAUUAAAAAUACUGAAAGAAAUGCAACAAAAUGUUAACAGCAUUUACCCCUGGGUAAUGAGAUUAUGAUUGGAUUUUAUGUCUACUUCUCCCUUUUGGUUAUGUCCACAUUGGACAAAUUUCAUGAUAAAUCACACAUGACAUGUUAUCAAUCAAUUAGACAAGAGAGGCCUGGAGGAAGAGAGGCAGGAAGCAGACACAGACAGCAGGAGGUGUGACUAAACUUACGUAUGCAGGAGGCCCGCUGCCAGCUUUAUAGAAGCAAGACCACAGAGCCACCCAGUUCCAGGGACACUGCAAAGGGCCUGACAGGUGGCAGGCAGAACAAGAGCCAUUUCACCAGCAGGAAGGGCCCCAACAUGCAGUCUGGACUGCCUGCUCUCUUGUGCACAGUGGUGGCCUUCAUCCUCUUCGGUUCCAGCAAUACACAGAGUGUCACUCAAACUCCAGGUCCAGUGAAUAAACAAGAGGGAGAAUCUGUGAGCUUGCACUGUAGUUUCACACUCAGCUAUACUUACUAUGUGAUGAGCUGGUUUCGACAGCUUUCCAAUGGAAAGAUGACUGAAAUCAUUAAUCUUUAUUCUACUAGCACAAACACCAAGAAAGGACGAUAUUCUGUAUCUCAUCAGAAAGGAAACAAAGCCCUAAGUCUCACCAUCAUAGGCUUGAUGCCUACAGACUCAGGCGUCUAUUUCUGUGCUGUUGGAGAAACUGCACGGUGAGAGGAGUGACGGGGAGAGCCUUACAAAAACCCC